UGGGCUUGACAUGGCGCUGCAAGCGCACGGAAACGUGUGACCUUCGAGGGUGCGCCACAGAUGCUGCAUGGCUGUCGUCAGCUCGUGUCGUGAGAUGUUGGGUUAAGUCCCGCAACGAGCGCAACCCUUGCCAUUAGUUGCCACAUUAAGUUGGGCACUCUAAUGGGACUGCCGGUGAUAAGCCGCGAGGAAGGUGGGGAUGACGUUUCCAGGUUAGG
Molecule: unclassified non-coding RNA, 218 nt
Filed under: uncultured bacterium
Lineage: Bacteria
Description: contains 16S-23S intergenic spacer region
Rfam family: Bacterial small subunit ribosomal RNA
Source: RNAcentral